UGCGUAGGCGGACUAAUAAGUCAGUGGUGAAAUCUCUCGGCUCAACCGGGAAACUGCCAUUGAUACUGUUAGUCUUGAGUUCGGUUGAGGUAGGCGGAAUGCGUAAUGUAGCGGUGAAAUGCUUAGAUAUUACACAGAACACCAAUUGCGUAGGCAGCUUACUAGACCGACACUGACGCUGAGGCACGAAAGCGUGGGUAGCGAACAGGAUUAGAUACCCUGGUAGUCC
This 229-nucleotide ribosomal RNA is filed under the name uncultured bacterium. RNAcentral's name for it is "partial 16S ribosomal RNA". It matches the Rfam family "Bacterial small subunit ribosomal RNA", at positions 568 to 796 of the family's 1533-position model. The record is from RNAcentral.